This 50-nucleotide transfer RNA is filed under the name Myurium hochstetteri. RNAcentral describes it as "partial tRNA-Phe". The stretch from base 11 to 50 matches the Rfam family "tRNA", at positions 1 to 39 of the family's 71-position model. Rfam says of the family: Transfer RNA (tRNA) molecules are approximately 80 nucleotides in length. The record is from RNAcentral. Lineage: Eukaryota; Viridiplantae; Streptophyta; Bryopsida; Hypnales; Myuriaceae.
AAUCAAAAAAGCCGGAAUAGCUCAGUUGGUAGAGCAGAGGACUGAAAAUC